UGUGCUCCCCUUUGUACUUAUUCUUAAAAUUCUUGCCAAAAAUUCUGCAUUUAAGUCAAUCCAAACUCCUCUAAUCUCAGUGUCAAUGAUUCCAUGUCCCGAUUUUAAGUUAGCAUAGAAUUCUCUUACAAGGUUGGGAUAGGUUAAUACAUUAAGUAAGCAAAAGAAUUACCAACCCAAGGAUUUGAAUUUCUAUCUUAUUGAGAAACUCUCUAUUUUCAAGAAUCCAAACUCUACAUUUCUCCCCAUACAUACAACCCU
This 261-nucleotide long non-coding RNA is filed under the name Elaeis guineensis (African oil palm). RNAcentral's name for it is "long non-coding RNA (EGUI_LNC014842)". The record is from RNAcentral. Lineage: Eukaryota; Viridiplantae; Streptophyta; Magnoliopsida; Arecales; Arecaceae.